Molecule: ribosomal RNA, 292 nt
Filed under: uncultured bacterium
Lineage: Bacteria
Description: partial 16S ribosomal RNA
Rfam family: Bacterial small subunit ribosomal RNA
Source: RNAcentral
GUGUCAGCAGCCGCGGUAAUACGGAGGGUGCAAACGUUGCUCGGAAUCAUUGGGCGUAAAGCGCGCGUAGGCGGCUGAACAAGUUGGAUGUGAAAGCCCUGGGCUCAACCUAGGAUGUGCAUUCAAAACUGUUCGGCUUGAAUCUCGGAGGGGGUCAGAGAAUUCUCGGUGUAGAGGUGAAAUUCGUAGAUAUCGGGAGGAACACCAGUGGCGAAGGCGCUGACCUGGACGAAGAUUGACGCUGAGGCGCGAAAGCGUGGGGAGCAAACAGGAUUAGAAACCCUCGUAGUCC